Long non-coding RNA from Dinoponera quadriceps, 777 nucleotides. RefSeq lists it as uncharacterized. The record is from RefSeq and is a predicted model, not a curated record. The transcript has 2 exons. Lineage: Eukaryota; Metazoa; Arthropoda; Insecta; Hymenoptera; Formicidae.
CCGCGAUUUGAAAAUAGCGCACCGUAAGGAGGAGGAAAAGCGAAGGGGGGCGAUGGAGGGAGAGAGAGGCCAGGGAGAUCACAGAAGACGGGGUUCAAGGGGAAAUUCAAGGACCCGAGGCAAUCCGCGGAACGCGAAAAACCAAACGCGACCAUCCAUCAAUCCGUCCGCUCGACAACCCCCGGAGAGGCGCAAGUGCACGCGCACCGCGGCAACGUUCGCGCGUGGUCAUCUACUCCGUGUACCAAAGAUAGAGUCUGACAUCACACACACGGGCAUCAGUCGGGUCGAACGAGCGAUAAACAUAUUCGCGCGCGGUGUCCUCGUACGCGGAAGGUUCCAGUUUACCGCUCACAACUGUCCCGAUCGAUCGAUGCACCCACCGAUGGCUGCGGCCGUGCGAAUUCUUCGUCUACUUUCUCCUAUUUCUCCCGUGUGUGCGAACGGGAUCCCUCGCCGUAAUUCGCCUUCGCUCGUUUAAAGCGAUUCGGCAUUACGAGCUACUUGUGCGGAGGUAACAACGCGUCGACGUCUCUCGGGACAUUUUCCUGUUUGUUUUUACAUACAUGUAUCUUUCUCUCGCGCAACCAACACACACACACACUCUCUCUCUGUGCGACGUCGUCUGUGCCAUGUCGAGGUGCGUGCGCGAUCGACUACGCACAUUCGCGCAUCGUUUAUAGAUAAUGCACUCGAGGCGAUCCAAAGAUCCAUCUACAGACAAGAAAAACCCGCCCAGCGCAGCCCCGAAGAUAUAAAAAAAAAAAAAAAAACUGA